UACGGAGGGUGCGAGCGUUAAUCGGAAUUACUGGGCGUAAAGGGCAUGUAGGCGGUCUGUUAAGUUAGGUGUAAAAGCCCUGGGCUUAACCUAGGAACGACAUUUAAGACUGACAGGCUAGAGUGAUGUAGAGGGGGGUAGAAUUCCAGGUGUAGCGGUGAAAUGCGUAGAGAUCUGGAGGAAUACCGGUGGCGAAGGCGGCCCCCUGGGAAUCAACUGACGCUGAGGUGCGAAAGCGUGGGGAGCAAACAGG
RNAcentral lists this ribosomal RNA (253 nucleotides) under uncultured bacterium. RNAcentral's name for it is "partial 16S ribosomal RNA". It matches the Rfam family "Bacterial small subunit ribosomal RNA", at positions 524 to 776 of the family's 1533-position model. The record is from RNAcentral.